GGCCACGUAGCCAAGUGGUAAGGCGACGGUCUGCAAAACCGUUAUGCGCGGGUUCGAUUCCCACCGUGGCCU
RNAcentral lists this transfer RNA (72 nucleotides) under candidate division CPR3 bacterium. RNAcentral's name for it is "tRNA-Cys". It matches the Rfam family "tRNA". Rfam says of the family: Transfer RNA (tRNA) molecules are approximately 80 nucleotides in length. Their secondary structure includes four short double-helical elements and three loops (D, anti-codon, and T loops). Further hydrogen bonds mediate the characteristic L-shaped molecular structure. tRNAs have two regions of fundamental functional importance: the anti-codon, which is responsible for specific mRNA codon recognition, and the 3' end, to which the tRNAs corresponding amino acid is attached (by aminoacyl-tRNA synthetases). tRNAs cope with the degeneracy of the genetic code in two manners: having more than one tRNA (with a specific anti-codon) for a particular amino acid; and 'wobble' base-pairing, i.e. permitting non-standard base-pairing at the 3rd anti-codon position. The record is from RNAcentral. Lineage: Bacteria; candidate division CPR3.